AACGAACGCUGGCGGCAUGCCUAACACAUGCAAGUCGAACGAGACCUUCGGGUCUAGUGGCGCACGGGUGCGUAACGCGUGGGAACCUGCCCUUAGGUUCGGAAUAACUCCCCGAAAGGGGUGCUAAUACCGGAUAAUGUCUUCGGACCAAAGAUUUAUCGCCUUUGGAUGGGCCCGCGUUGGAUUAGCUAGUUGGUAGGGUAAAAGCCUACCAAGGCGACGAUCCAUAGCUGGUCUGAGAGGAUGAUCAGCCACACUGGGACUGAGACACGGCCCAGACUCCCACGGGAGGCAGCAGGGCGGAAUAUUGCACAAUGGGCGGAAUCAUGAUGCAGCAACGCCGCGGGCGGGAUGAAGGCCUUCGGGUUGGAAACCGCUUUCGCCUGGGACGAAGCGUGAGUGACGGUAAGGGGUAAAGAAGCACCGGCUAACUACGUG
Molecule: ribosomal RNA, 438 nt
Filed under: uncultured bacterium
Lineage: Bacteria
Description: partial 16S ribosomal RNA
Rfam family: Bacterial small subunit ribosomal RNA
Source: RNAcentral